This is a long non-coding RNA of Equus asinus (donkey), 2635 nucleotides long. Lineage: Eukaryota; Metazoa; Chordata; Mammalia; Perissodactyla; Equidae. The record is from Ensembl.
CGGGACCCAUCUGGGAAGGGCGAGCGUAAGGACCACAUGCGAUCUAGCCAGCAGGGCGUGCUCCUUCCAAACCCAGGACUCAGGUUUGCAGGGUUGGCCUGCUUUACAGAAAGGGCAACUGAGGCCCAAGGAGCGAGAUCACCUGUAGCCCCAAGUCAGAUAGUCCCAUUCACUUGUUCAUCUUUUAUUCAUUCAACAAACACUUUCGCAGCACGUACGGUGUGGGUUAGGAGUGGAGUAGAGGCAAACUUGGCAGUCCCUUAAGGAGCUGGGUCAAGCAGGACAGGAGAUUUCUCGGGGUCACUAACGCAUGAUAAAGGAGCCCAGAAUCGGGCUGUUUCCCCUUCCUACCUCAAAGCUUUCGUGGUUUUGCUAUUCCCAACCUGAAAUGCCUUCCUGUCACCCCCAUAUACCCAAGCACCAAUCAUCUUUAAAACCUCUGUCCUCAUCGUAGGUGAUCUUUCAGCAUCGUCUGACCCGGCAGUCAGGGUUUUUCUCUGUCUCACUAGCUGCUCCUCUUCAAGUGCCCAGCAUCCACCCCUUCUCUGCCUCUCCUGUUGGGGUGUUAGGGUGGCCCAUGGCUCUGGCCGGAUGUGCUUCUAUUCGACAGACCCUCUCCCAGUCAUGCUCUCCCAGGCUUUAAGCAGCAUCCACAUACUGGAGUGACUGCCAGAUCCGUAUUUCCAGGCCAGACCUCGCCCAGGAGGCAUCGCAAACCUCUCGGGGAAAACAAAGUGCUUUAUUCACCGCCCCCCAACCUGCUCCUCCACAUUCUUCUCUUUCUCAGUAAAUGGCCACUCUAUCCACGGGGCUGCUCAGGUUAAAAUCGGAAAGCGUCCUUGAGUGCAUCCUUUCCCUCGCCCCCUUGUGCAGUCCUUCCCUGCACUCCCCCAGCACGCACUGCCUCCCCUUUACAGCGUCAGCCGGAGUUUUCCGUCUGAGUGGCUGUCCCCCACCCCUGGUGAAGUGUGACCCUUCUAGGACAAGGCAGGGGCCUGACUGAUUCAUUUCUGUGUGCAGAACAGGGCCUGGCGCCCUGAAGGCACUCGGGGAAAGCUGGUAGAGGGAUGGAUGAAUGGGUAAGGUCUUGACGGUGACCGGGGUGGACCCCAGCCCCAUCUCCCUGCACACACACACGCACACACAUGCACUAACACACACACACACACACACACCCCACUGAAAGCCUGGCUUCCAAUCUGACUUGCCAAACAAAUUCCUGCGUGAACAUAAGAAGCCUCCCCACGUCUCCCCAGCCAGGCCCCAGUGUGGUUGGGGCAUGUACUCAGAGCUCAGGAAAUCAGACUCUCAGGGACGGAAGUAGUUAGGACAAAGGACAGCACUCCAGGCUGCCGGCUUUGGACCGUUGCCCUCUGCCUGACACGCUUUUCUCCCUGUGCCUGGCCAAAUCCUACUGACCCUUCAAGUCCCACCCUAAAGGUCACUUUCCCCAGGAAGGCUUCAGAGCCACCCCUGCACCAAGUACAGCUAUGGCAGACACACAUCAAGGCGACCCCCAAUGAGUCACGCCCUCGUGCCAUCCCCUCGACCUUGAGCGCAGGCUGAGCCUGUGACAGCUCCUAGCCGGUAGAAUGUGGCAGAGGUGACGGGCUGUCACUCCCAUGGACACGUUACACAGCAUAAGAAUUCAUCUUAACACACCAGAGGGAGAGGUUCUGCUUACAGACUGAGGAGCAGUCGCCUGCGUGCCGUCAGGGGGCCUUUGGAGAAGCCCACCUGGCGGAGGGUCUGUAGGACCUAAGGGCAGCCUCUGGCGGACAACCAGCAAAAAGCUGGGCCUGCAAUCACGCGGGCCCAUAGAAUUGAAUCCUGGCGUCAACCGGAACCAGCUUGGAAGUGAACUCCUUCCUAGUCGAGCCUCCAGUGUGGAAGCCCCAUGAGAAGAGAAAUGGAGCCUGUCUUUCUCAUCGCUGUGCCCAGCACGUUUUUGUUCGAGGGCAACUGGUUGCAGGCAGACCGGGGAAAAAACGUCUUGGAAACAUUUGCAGGACCACAGAGCUUUUAGAGUCGAGGAGAGUGACAAACAUUUUGGCAAGUGAGAAGUGCGGCUGUGCUAGCAGCUGAUGAAGGUUUCUGCUGUGGAGGGGCAGCCUGGGAGCCAAGAGAGACGACAGCAAGGAGCGGUGGCGACCUGGUAGCACGGAAAAUGAGUCACAGCUCGGUGAUCCUGGGCAAGAUCCAUAAAGUGGGCUUCAGAAGGAUCUGCCCCAUAGCAUCAUUGUGAGGACCCCAGGUGCUCAGAUGGGGCGAAGAGCUCAGGGAGGAAGAGCUGAGAAAUGCACACCGCUACGAUGCCCUUCACCUCCCGGUGACUGUGCCGGGGCAGGUGCCCGGCCUGGGUGCUGGGGGCCUGAAGCCCCUGUCUGUGUUCCCCAGGGAAGGCGGCUGGCAAGCAGGUUCCCUGCUGCUCACCGCUGGCUGUAGGGUGCCUCUGCUUCGCACUGCACCACCCACUUUCACCCUGCUGACCCCGGGUCCAGGCUUGGGGCGGGGGCGGGGGGAUCACCCUCCAGAUUUUUCUCCUGUAAAACAACUAAGCAACAUCUUCUAACUCAGUUGUUCCCGGAAGUGCUGCAUUUUGGGUUUUGGGGUCUGCUGCGUGAAGGAAACUGAU